Molecule: ribosomal RNA, 793 nt
Filed under: uncultured bacterium
Lineage: Bacteria
Description: bacterial SSU rRNA
Rfam family: Bacterial small subunit ribosomal RNA
Source: RNAcentral
GUCGAACGCAUCCCGCUGAAUUGAAGUGCUUGCACUGAUUUUCAGCAUUGCAUGAGUGGCGAACUGGUGAGUAACACGUGGGUAACCUGCCCGGAAGCAGGGGAUAACACUUGGAAACAGGUGCUAAUACCGUAUAACAACUGAAACCGCAUGGUUUCAGUUUGAAAGAUGGUUUCGGCUAUCACUUCUGGAUGGACCCGCGGCGUAUUAGCUAGUUGGUGGAAUAAUGGUUCACCAAGGCAAUGAUACGUAGCCGACCUGAGAGGGUAAUCGGCCACAUUGGGACUGAGACACGGCCCAAACUCCUACGGGAGGCAGCAGUAGGGAAUCUUCCACAAUGGACGAAAGUCUGAUGGAGCACCGCCGCGUGAGUGAAGAAGGGUUUCGGCUCGUAAAACUCUGUUGUUGAAGAAGAACACAUCUGAGAGUAACUGUUCAGGUGUUGACGGUAUUUAACCAGAAAGCCACGGCUAACUACGUGCCAGCAGCCGCGGUAAUACGUAGGUGGCAAGCGUUGUCCGGAUUUAUUGGGCGUAAAGCGAGCGCAGGCGGUUUCUUAAGUCUGAUGUGAAAGCCUUCGGCUUAACCGGAGAAGUGCAUCGGAAACUGGGAGACUUGAGUGCAGAAGAGGACAGUGGAACUCCAUGUGUAGCGGUGAAAUGCGUAGAUAUAUGGAAGAACACCAGUGGCGAAGGCGGCUGUCUGGUCUGUAACUGACGCUGAGGCUCGAAAGCAUGGGUAGCGAACAGGAUUAGAUACCCUGGUAGUCCAUGCCGUAAACGAUGAAUACUAG